Molecule: long non-coding RNA, 612 nt
Filed under: Elaeis guineensis (African oil palm)
Lineage: Eukaryota; Viridiplantae; Streptophyta; Magnoliopsida; Arecales; Arecaceae
Description: long non-coding RNA (EGUI_LNC045340)
Source: RNAcentral
GGCCAUCGAUGGAUUAUAUAUAUAUAAGGUCGCUUUCCUUCAUUUGGGUCUCCUACUGUAAUUUGUUAGUAAUCCUCCUACAAUUAAGGGAAUUCCUGUGGGUGCCGAGAGUUCUAGGUGCUUAGGAUCAUCAUCAUCUUCUUCCUCAUGUUAUCAAGCUUUUGCUCUCAGGUUGGGCUUCUUCUUUUCUUCCUUUGUCAUUUCUUUGUCAUUACCUCCUUCUUUGUUGAGUUUUAUUGCCAUGAAUAUGGUCAGUAGCAGUAAGAAAGACAAGACUAAGGUUAGGAAAGAUGGACCUAUAGAUAGAGUUUCCAACCCUGUGCCUUCUCGGGAUGAUCGAUCGAUUGGUCUGGCUAAUGAUGCCCUUUUGGAUCCAGCCACAGAAGCUUCUUCUAUGAUCAAAUCCGAAGUCCGACAGCUACGGGCAUGAUAUUAUGUCCCGGAGCAGUUCCGGCUCUAUGCCCCUAGUUCGGAUGGUUGGAUGAACUUUCCUCCUCCUGAUCAAGUUGUGGUUUAUGUAGAGAAUCUUAGAGCUGAUCUUAUUUUUUUGAUUUUAGAGUUUGUUCAGAGUCUUUUUGAUUACUAUCAAAUCUGUCCUGUCCAACUUGUAUC